This 807-nucleotide ribosomal RNA is filed under the name uncultured bacterium. Its description in RNAcentral is "bacterial SSU rRNA". It matches the Rfam family "Bacterial small subunit ribosomal RNA", at positions 8 to 796 of the family's 1533-position model. The record is from RNAcentral.
AGAGUUUGAUCAUGGCUCAGAGCGAACGCUGGCGGCGUGCCUAACACAUGCAAGUCGAACGUGAACGGCUUCGGCCUAGUAAAGUGGCGUACGGGUGAGUAACGCGUAGGUAAUCUACCCCAGAGUCUGGAAUAACCGGCCGAAAGGCUGGCUAAUACUGGAUAGAGCGACGGAAUCCGUAAUUGGGUUUUUCGGGAAAGGGAGGAGGCAACUCCCCUUGCUCUGGGAUGAGCCUGCGUCCCAUUAGGUAGUUGGUGGGGUAACGGCCUACCAAGCCUGUGAUGGGUAGCUGGUCUGAGAGGAUGAUCAGCCACACUGGAACUGAAACACGGUCCAGACUCCUACGGGAGGCAGCAGUGGGGAAUCUUGCGCAAUGGACGAAAGUCUGACGCAGCCACGCCGCGUGAGUGAAGAAGGCCUUCGGGUUGUAAAGCUCUGUCGGACGGGACGAAAAUACUUGGAGUUAACAGCUUCAGGGACUGACGGUACCGUCAAAGGAAGCACCGGCUAACUUCGUGCCAGCAGCCGCGGUAAUACGAGGGGUGCAAGCGUUGCUCGGAAUUAUUGGGCGUAAAGGGUAGGUAGGUGGUCUCAUUUGUCAGGGGUGAAAUCCUUGGGCUUAACUCAAGAAGUGCCCCUGAAACGGUGAGACUCGAGUCCUGGAGAGGGUCGUGGAAUUCCCGGUGUAGCGGUGAAAUGCGUAGAGAUCGGGAGGAACACCAGAGGCGAAGGCGGCGACCUGGACAGGUACUGACACUCAACUACGAAAGCGUGGGGAGCAAACAGGAUUAGAUACCCUAGUAGUCC